GGUAAAGGAAAGUGUAAGAGUAACAAGAAUGAGGGUGGAAAUUCUAAGCAAGAAUCUCAGAAGAAAGGAGGUGAGAGUGAUGGCAAAGGAAAGAAGAAAUCCAACGAACACAUUCAAUGCUAUAACAGUAAAAAAUGGGGUCACUUUGCAGAUGAAUGUGUGAGUUCUAAGGUGCCUAGGAAGAUAAAUGAAGAGGCAGAGUUAGCUUGUGACUCGGAUGAAGAAGUUGUUUCAUUAGUGGCAAC
Molecule: long non-coding RNA, 245 nt
Filed under: Lathyrus oleraceus (garden pea)
Lineage: Eukaryota; Viridiplantae; Streptophyta; Magnoliopsida; Fabales; Fabaceae
Description: Pisum sativum (pea) long non-coding RNA (PSAT_LNC019002)
Source: RNAcentral